Molecule: long non-coding RNA, 2223 nt
Filed under: Homo sapiens (human)
Lineage: Eukaryota; Metazoa; Chordata; Mammalia; Primates; Hominidae
Description: HSALNT0132369
Source: RNAcentral
GGAAGUGUCACGUGCUCCCUCCUGGGAUCAGGGAGAGGUUUAGCCCCACUGAACCGUGGAAGCUCAGGGAGGGGGAUGAAGAACACUCUCAGGACCUUACUCUAAGAGUAAGGUAGAGCUGGGAGCUGCAAGGAGCCUGGUUCCUCAGUCACUUCAUGGAGCAGAGAGCCUCCUCGCUACCUGUGCUGAACUGUAUAAGAAGCAUGCUGUGAUAUUGAGUCAAUUGGUUGCCCAAUCACAGACAUCUUUCACUGACAGAGUAACAGGUGUGUGGGCUUUGAGCAGUCGCUACACCUUCCCUCUUCAGGCAUGAUGAGAGGAUUCCUGCAGCGUUUUGCAAGAGGGUCCACACUACCUUUAUGAGCUGUAACACUCACCGUGAAGGUCUGCAGCUUCACUCCUGAAGCCAGCGAGACCACGAACCCACCGGGAGGAACGAACAACUCCAGAUGCGCCGCCUUAAGAGCUGUAAUACUCACCACGAAGGUCUGCACCUUCACUGCUGAGCAAGCGAGACCACGAACCCACCAGAAGAAAGAAACUCCUAACACAUCCGAACAUCAGAAGGAAGAAACUCCAGACGUGCCAUCUUAAGAGCUGUAACACUCACCGUGAAGGUCUGCAGCUUCAUUGUUGAAGUCAGUGAGACCAAGAACCCACCAAUUCCGGACACAGAAGGACGAGGAAUGAAGGGUGUUCCGGUGGGUACAUGUUGGCUCCUUUGCUCAGCUCAAGUGACCUCUGAAGCCUGUUCUACCUUUCACAGUGGGAAGAGAGGAAAGGGUCACUAGAGUCAUGUGUAAAAUGUGGCUCCAUCUUCUCAAAUCAGGGAUGAAUGCCUGCCUAUUUCUGGAUAUGUCAGGGAAGGCAGACACAGAGAGUUAGAGAAAGGGAAAGAGAAUGAGACAGAGAGAGACAGAGAUAAGAAGGGGGAGAGGGAGUGAAAAAGAGAGAAGGAGAGGGUAAGGGAGAGGAAGGGAGGGAAAGGGGGAGAGAGAGAAAGAGGGAGGGAGAGAGAGAAACAGAGGAGACAGGGCUGAGAUACCAGACAGUGGAUUUAGAGUUCCUGGUUCCCACAAGGCUCUUUGUGUGAAUCAGAACAAGUUUUUCCCACUGGACAGCUGCAUCCCUAUGGGUCCAUGGCUUUCCCACUGGGCUGCAUCUUGAUAUGAAUUAGAAAAUGUCAUCUUUAAGUUGGAGAUUCUCCACCUCAGCACUGUGGACAUUUGGGCCAGAUAAUUCUGCUUUGGUGGGCUGUCCUGUGUAGAAUGUUUAUAGUAGCAUUCCUGGCCAUUACUCACUAGGUGCCAGUAGAAUGUAUAUCAAAUUGUGACAAUCAAAAAUGUGUUCAGGUAUUGCCAAGUGCCUCCUGGAAGGCAAAAUUGCUCCCUGUGAGAUCCGCUAACUUAAGUGAACAUAGCUGCGUGCAGGAGUGCAUGGUUUGGAGAAAGGAUUGUAGGUGGGUUUUUAGUCGUUCCCCAACGACUUUCUGGGCUCCAGUUGCUUCCUUGGCCAGGUACACUUGUGCAGUGCACAAUCUCCACAACUGUACAUAGCAGUCCUGCUGGUUCCUGUGCAUUCCUGUGUCAUGGCUGAAUCUCUUCCACUGGGUUCUCUGGGACACUCUUGAGUCCUUAAAGCAAAUGUGCCCUUUAUACAUUGUCUGUCUUGACUUUAGUUUUAUUUGUAGGUGAACAGCCAUUGUUCUCUUCUUAUCCCUCCAUCUCUGUUUGUGUUUUAUCAGAAAUUUCAAAAGAUGCUACUCUGUUUAUGUUAGCACAAGUAGCUACUGUGUGUGUUUCGAAACUUUUUGCAAGUGUGAAAGUGUUUGGUUUGAAAGGUGGUACCUGUAUUCAACACUCAUCAAAUCUCUUCUUCAAGGGCCUUUUCUUUUUUCUCUGACCUUUUAUUUUUGGACCAAACACCUCUAAGACACCAUAGAGUGUAUCAGUUUCCUUACAAAAAUGUGGCAUCGUUCACUUCAUUAACGCUGUUUGAUCUUUGACAAGUGAUAAAGGUGUGAUAUGAAACAUAAUUUCUCAUAACUUGAAGAUACUCCAAUUAGCAUAUAUGAGAUGGGAAAAAAUAAAGAGGGUAUUUUCUAAUUAAUUGAAAAUCAUGCUUAGAUUUAGAAUGGUGUUUCCCAAACUAUCAGGUCUGUAAGUUCACAAGAAAGAAUCACCACCAUUUUUAAGUAACAAAAAUAAAAUAAUAUUUUGAACA